This 236-nucleotide long non-coding RNA is filed under the name Lathyrus oleraceus (garden pea). Its description in RNAcentral is "Pisum sativum (pea) long non-coding RNA (PSAT_LNC002691)". The record is from RNAcentral. Lineage: Eukaryota; Viridiplantae; Streptophyta; Magnoliopsida; Fabales; Fabaceae.
UUUCCUUGAAAAGUGGGUUAUUUUUGUAAAAAUUUCCUAGAAUGAGACCCAAAGGCUAUCGGUUUCAUUCCUUAUGAGACCAAAAUUUUGUUUUUUUUACUUAUAAGACAAAAAAAAUCUGACAUGGAAAUAUUUGUUAAUAAAAAAAAGGAAAAAGAAAAAAAAGUCGGUGUUUUCUUAAUAAAAUUUUAACUCUAGGGACUAUCGCCAACAUAUAAGUAAGAUAUAGGGAUUAA